RNAcentral lists this transfer RNA (74 nucleotides) under Acidobacteriota bacterium. Its description in RNAcentral is "Acidobacteria bacterium tRNA-Val". It matches the Rfam family "tRNA". Rfam says of the family: Transfer RNA (tRNA) molecules are approximately 80 nucleotides in length. Their secondary structure includes four short double-helical elements and three loops (D, anti-codon, and T loops). Further hydrogen bonds mediate the characteristic L-shaped molecular structure. tRNAs have two regions of fundamental functional importance: the anti-codon, which is responsible for specific mRNA codon recognition, and the 3' end, to which the tRNAs corresponding amino acid is attached (by aminoacyl-tRNA synthetases). tRNAs cope with the degeneracy of the genetic code in two manners: having more than one tRNA (with a specific anti-codon) for a particular amino acid; and 'wobble' base-pairing, i.e. permitting non-standard base-pairing at the 3rd anti-codon position. RNAcentral also lists the same sequence under 1 other name. The record is from RNAcentral. Lineage: Bacteria; Pseudomonadati; Acidobacteriota.
GGGCGGUUAGCUCAGUUGGUUAGAGCACCUGCCUUACAAGCAGGGGGUCGCAGGUUCGAGCCCUGCACCGCCCA